AUCGAACGCUGGCGGCAGGCUUAACACAUGCAAGUCGAGCGUGCGGCGGACGGGUGAGUCAUGUCUGGGACACUGCCUGAUGGAGGGGGAUACCUACUGGAAACGGUAGCUAAUACCGCAUACCAUCAGAUGUGCCUAGAUGGGAUUUGCGUGUAGGUGGGGUAAUGGCUCACCUAGGCCACUAUCCCUAGCUGGUCUGAGAGGAUGACCACACACACUGGAACUGAGACACGGUCCAGACUCCUACGGGAGGAAGCAGUGGGGAAUAUUGCACAAUGGGCGCAAGCCGGAUGCGGCCAUGCCGGGGGUGGGAAGAAGGCCUUCGGGUUGUAAAGCACUUUCAGCGAGGAGGCGUUACUCGCAGAAGAAGCACCGGCUAACUCCGUGCCAGCAGCCGCGGUAAUUC
This 406-nucleotide ribosomal RNA is filed under the name uncultured bacterium. Its description in RNAcentral is "partial 16S ribosomal RNA". It matches the Rfam family "Bacterial small subunit ribosomal RNA", at positions 30 to 526 of the family's 1533-position model. The record is from RNAcentral.